Molecule: long non-coding RNA, 933 nt
Organism: Neolamprologus brichardi
Lineage: Eukaryota; Metazoa; Chordata; Actinopteri; Cichliformes; Cichlidae
Source: RefSeq, a predicted model, not a curated record
AUGGGAGCGCAGCGCCAUUUUCGGGGUCUACGAAUUAAAACAAACACACUGUUGGAACGACGACUACAAGAAAGAUGCUUAAAAGCAGCUCAAAAGAGAAUGGACUGUAUAGAGACCGAUUGCGUCCAGAGGCGAAGCGGCGGUACUUGCAGAAAAUAGCGUGCAUUGGAAAUGUGGACCCAUAUGAAACACAGCCGUGGAGUAGAAACCCUGAAGACCAACCGCUAUUGACGUAGCCUGACAUAUUUUCGUACCUUGUCUGUGGAGUCAGCGCGUACAAGUCGUCAUUCAAACAAAGGUCCUGCACUCUCAAAGACUGAAUGAACGAGCAUUACAGCCAUGGGUCACUGUGAGCAUCACAGCGAAGGUUGAAGCCGCCCACUGCACCUGUAAGGCCGGAGUCGUGGAGACCUGCACCCACGUCACUGCUCUUCUGUUUAAUGUAGAAGCAACAGUGUUGAUCUGUGGCACAGAACUGUUACAGAUGAACCUGCAUGCUGGGUUUUGCUGGGUAAUGUGACCAAGAUACAGUCAUAGGUUGGCCGUAAGAUAGACUUCUCCUCUUCAGCUGCCCAAAAAAAGGCUCUUGAUCAAAACAUAAACAGACCAUCCGUAGUGACAGGUAAAAGGAGCCGUCCUCAAAAAAGAAAAAUCCCACCUGCUACUGUGGAGGAGUUGUCACUGCUGGAGGAUACUUGGAUACUUUGCUGGAGCACAGUAAAGAUGUGGGUUGUGGGAAUGACCCAUAAUGUUUUAUCUAGGGGUCUAGAUUUAUGCCUGUAGUGCACUGCCAUGUAAAUAAUUUGCAUUUACUGAAUAUGUACUCACUGAGUACCACUGUUGGGAAAGAAUGAAAAGAUAAACCAUUUUCAAGCUUAUUCUCUUGCCGGUCGUGCGAUCGAACAUUGCAGCCGACCACACAGCAAAUACGAA